CCACCGCACGUAUCCCCUAAACACCUUGCGAUGUGACUUAGGCCAGAAAAAGAAAUUAAAUCGAUCAAAAUUCGGUUGACCUCUCCUGUGGUUUUACCGUAUUGCGCUGCUAUCUAGGGUUAAUUGAUGAGAACCCGAAAUGCUGACCCUGCGAAAUCAACGGUCACCAGGAAGACGCUGCCGGUGAGGAAAGCUGUUGGUAAAGUUCAUUCUCCAACCUCAUCGGAAUCUCUGACAUCUAAAAUCGUGGAAACAAAGCGCGGUUCUGUCGGCAAAGCAAAGGCCAACGACACGACACCUCCACAACAUACUACGAGUUCUGAUUCCAAGUCUGAUAAAUUGCCGGUUGAUGAAGUGACAGCAUUAGCUGAAACUGCCACAAUGAACCUAGUGAAAAAAGCAGCCGUUCCAGGCACUAGGCCAGGAGCAAAGAAGAAGCUAGUGAAGACUAAAACCCAGGAUUCUCAGCAAGCUGUGAAGGCAAGAACAGAAGAAUUUAGUGUUGAAAACAUUGGAGAACCUAUAAAGCAGGAAGAAAACAUAGUGGAAGUGGAAGAACCUGCUGUUGCAAAUGUCAUAGAAGGCUCACAAGAGGAGGGAACUGCAGCCAAAGAUGAUGAGGAAUCAGUUAAGCAGGUAAAAACAUCAGUGGAAGAAGAUGCUAGUAAGCAUGUUGGGGAUUCUGUGAAGAAAAAAGAACUUGUUAGGGAGUUUGCAAAAUUUAAUGAAAAUAAAAAACUCAGCUUUUACAACAAUGAACAGCAAGGGGAUUUUGUGAAGCAAAAAGAUCCAGUUGCUCUGGGGCUUGCAAAAUCCAAUGUUAGGGAAAAAGUGAGCAUUCAAAAUAAACUAGAGGAUGUGGAGGAGGACCUGGAGGAGGAUGAUGAAAUAGAAACUCUCGAUGACAGUCAGGAGCCCAAGAUUGGGCUUAUUGACAAGGAUGAAAACGUGAAAGCCAAGCUGCUGGUAGAAGAUGCUGAACCUGAACAGGAUGAGUAUGGUGGUUAUGAGAUGUUUGAAGACUACGGUGAUCAAGUAGACUAUGGAGAUCAUGAGGAGGAAGAGAUUGCAGAGGAUGAUAUAGAGGAGCCUGCUGAAGAAGCUGAGACACUGGAGGAUGAAAACAGGGAAUUGAAAGCAAUUGCAAGAGACCGUAGGAUUAAGAAGGAGCAUGAGAUAUUUGUUGGUGGUUUAGAUCGUGAUGCUACGGAGGAGGAUGUGAGGAAGGUUUUUGAGAGGAUUGGAGAAAUAGCUGAAGUUCGGUUACACAAGAAUUUUGCAACAAAUAAGAAUAAGGGUUAUGCAUUUGUGAAGUUUGCAAACAAGCUGCAUGCACAGCGGGCUUUGUCUGAGAUGAAAAACCCUGUGAUUUGUGGAAAGCGAUGUGGGACUGCACCAAGUGAGGACAACGAUACGUUGUUCGUGGGAAAUAUCUGCAAUACUUGGACCAAGGAGGCUAUUAAACAAAAGUUGAAAGAGUAUGGUGUUGAAGGUGUUGAGAACGUUACUCUUGUUUCAGAUGCUCAGCAUGAGGGGUUGAGUCGUGGUUUUGCAUUUGUUGAGUUUUCUUGUCAUGUUGAUGCCAUGGCUGCAUAUAAGAGGCUUCAGAAGCCUGAUGUUGUGUUUGGCCACCCUGAGAGAACUGUCAAAGUUGCUUUUGCUGAACCUUUGAGGGAACCUGAUCCGAUAAUAAUGGCUCAGGUGAAGACAGUAUUUCUUGAUGGGGUUCCUCCUCACUGGAAUGAAGACCAAGUUAAGGGGCAGAUACAAGGGUUUGGGGAGAUUGUACGCAUUGUCCUGGCCCGGAAUAUGUCGACCGCUAAAAGGAAAGAUUAUGGUUUUGUUGAUUUCUCAACCCAUGAAGCUGCUGUUACUUGCAUCAAUGGCAUAAAUAAUAAAGAAGUGGUUGAUGGCAACUCCCUGGUAAAACUGAAAGCAAGGCUGUCAAAUCCCAUGCCAAAAACUCAAGCAGUGAAGGGUGGAAUGUGUGGUGGAUAUCGAAUUGGUCAUGGUGGCAGUGGAGCCGUUUCCAGAUAUGGAAGAAGUUUUGGUCAGGGUGGACAUCACUUCAACCGGGUGAAUUUCCAACGGGGCAGGGGUUUCUAUCAACGUGGACGCGGACAAUUUCGUAGAAUAGGUCCCAAUGACUAUGGCCUUGAUAACCGAUACACAGAAUUUCGUGGGAGGCCAUUUAUGGGACGAGGAGGAAGAAGGGGUUCUUUCAGAGGUGGUCAUUAUACAUCUGGUAGAGCAAUGGCAGCAGCUGGCCCAUCAAGGCCUAAUUCCAGUAGGCAUUGGCUUGAUGUCCCCGAUAGAGGACAUGGGGAUCAUUUUUCCUAUAGGAGGCAACCAUUUUCUCCAGAUGAAGAUUUUGAUAGACGUUAUAUUGAAAGACAUGUUAUUGACCCUUAUAAUUAUGAUGACUGUGCACAUGGUGUGAAGAGACCAUUUUAUGCAGUAGACCAUGAUCCUGAUUAUAUGGGAUCAAGUAGACUCCGCCGACGGCUGGACUAUAAUGAUCCUGCAGUUUCACUUCGUGGAAAUUAUUACCAUGAUGAUUAUGGAGCUGGCAGUGGUCUCUACUCGGAUGAUUAUUAUGUUUCUGAUUAUGGUGCAUAUCCACCUUAUUAUGGGGAUGAUCACUCAUAUGGAGGUGGUUAUUACUACUAGACUCAAGAACCUUGGGUUGGCUUGCAAAUGCUGGUUGCUGGGCUUGCUGCUAAAAUAUAUGACCUCUCUGUAAGCAGGUCUAUGCGCGUAAGCAUAGGGAUGCCAGUUGGGAAUACUGACUGGGUGAGGUGAGAAAAUUAAUUACUGCUGGAGACCACGUGGAAGGCAAGGACAGGCUAAAGGAGUAUGUCCAGGUUGAUUGAGGUAGGGAAGUAAGUAGUGUGGUGUGUGGAAAGAAAAGGGGAAGGAUUUAGGGAAGUAGGAGGCUAAGGCCUGGGAGGGACUGGCUCCAUUAAUUUGCCAGAUGACUUUUUUCUUUGUGCCAGUUUGUUGCUUGAGUGUCUCAUGGAGUGUAUUGACUGGAUUACUGGUAAAUAAUAUUGGUUUCGGUCUGUUUCCAGAAGAACUGAUCUGUCUGUGUUUGUGAAUAUUGGUGAGUUGGAGUUGGUUUUGCAGGUCACUAACAGUAUAGAACAUAUGUUUCAUUCUGUUUUCUGUAAAGUACUCUUAUUUAGGAGGUACCGUUUGAUGUAAUUCCAAAUUAGAUCAACUUGAAUUUCAUGUCCCUCUUGCAAUGGUUCGGUGUGGCUGCAACCUUUUUGCUUUGAAGGGAAUUUUAGAUUCAUUAUUUCUAAGUGGUGAAAGAGUAAAGAAAAGGGAGAGUGAAAGAAGCGGAAUUACUGGUAUUCUUUUUAUCUUUGCAGUUGUAUAAUGUGAUAAUAUUCUCUUCCAAACAUGCUUGUAAUAUAGUGUUUUAAUUAUCGGAUAGCGAAUAUAACUCAAACAUA
Mangifera indica (mango) is the source of this 3458-nucleotide RNA transcript. It is a transcript of the gene named nucleolin-like, with no coding region annotated. The transcript has 12 exons. The record is from RefSeq and is a predicted model, not a curated record. Lineage: Eukaryota; Viridiplantae; Streptophyta; Magnoliopsida; Sapindales; Anacardiaceae.